This 496-nucleotide ribosomal RNA is filed under the name uncultured bacterium. RNAcentral describes it as "partial 16S ribosomal RNA". It matches the Rfam family "Bacterial small subunit ribosomal RNA", at positions 28 to 507 of the family's 1533-position model. The record is from RNAcentral.
GAUGAACGCUGGCGGCGUGCCUAAUACAUGCAAGUCGAGCGAACAGACGAGGAGCUUGCUCCUUCGACGUUAGCGGCGGACGGGUGAGUAACACGUAGGAACCCACCUAUAAGGACGGGGUAACCUCCGGAAAACGGAGGCUAAUACCGGUAAUAAUUCGAACCGCCUGGUUUGAUUGUGAAAGAUGGCUUUGCCAUCACUUAUUGAUUGACCUGCGCCGUAUUAGCUAGUUGGUAAGGUAACGGCUUACCAAGGCAACGAUACGUAGCCGACCUGAGAGGGUGAUCGGCCACACUGGAACUGAGACACGGUCCAGACUCCUACGGGAGGCAGCAGUAGGGAAUCUUCCGCAAUGGGCGAAAGCCUGACGGAGCAACGCCGCGUGAGUGAUGAAGGUCUUCGGAUCGUAAAACUCUGUUAUUAGGGAAGAACAAACGUGUAAGUAACUGUGCACGUCUUGACGGUACCUAAUCAGAAAGCCACGGCUAACUACGUG